RNAcentral lists this ribosomal RNA (255 nucleotides) under Bacillus cereus. RNAcentral's name for it is "partial 16S ribosomal RNA". It matches the Rfam family "Bacterial small subunit ribosomal RNA", at positions 555 to 804 of the family's 1533-position model. Lineage: Bacteria; Bacillati; Bacillota; Bacilli; Caryophanales; Bacillaceae. The record is from RNAcentral.
UGGGCGUAAGCGCAGCGCAGGCGGUUCUCUUAAGUCGUGAUGUGAAAGCCCCCGGCUCAACCGGUGGAGAGUGUCAUUGGAAACUGCGGAGACUUGAGUGCAGAAGAGGGAAGAGUGGAAUUCCCUGGGUAGCGGUGGAAUGCGUAGAUAUAUGGAGGAACACCAGUGGCGAAGGCGACUUUCUGGUCUGAAACUGACACUGAGGCGCGAAAGCGUGGGGAGCAAACAGGAUUAGAUACCCCCCGUAGUCCUAAA